RNAcentral lists this long non-coding RNA (366 nucleotides) under Cyanistes caeruleus (blue tit). RNAcentral's name for it is "lncRNA (ENSCCEG00000012758.1)". Lineage: Eukaryota; Metazoa; Chordata; Aves; Passeriformes; Paridae. The record is from RNAcentral.
CACAAUUGCUAGACUGCUGAGAGGACAAGGGAGAUGUCAAUUAUGAUGAAGAAGGAAGGGCUUCUAAAACCUCACUUUCUAAGCUGUGCAGAGUUUGCUGCAGCACAGAAGGUUACUGAGUGACUCAAACCAAGCCUGGAAGCAAGAUACUCUUGCAAAGAUAUAUGAGGCAAUGGGGGUUAUUUCAUCAUUUAUGUGAAACUGGCCAGCUCCAAAGGAGGACUAGAGAUUUCAGUGCAAUCCACAAUUAAACUGGCUUAAAUGGAGUGAAAGAUGCUUCUGCCUUCAGUAAAUUUGAUAAAUUUUCUGAAAGAGAAAAACUCUUCCCUUCAGCAUUCAGUCUAUUCUGGAUUUCAAAUUACCUGA